GCGUCUGUAGCUCAGUUGGAUAGAGCACUAUUUUCCGAAAAUAGAGGUCUCAGGUUCAAUUCCUGAUAGACGCA
Molecule: transfer RNA, 74 nt
Filed under: Buchnera aphidicola (Sipha maydis)
Lineage: Bacteria; Pseudomonadati; Pseudomonadota; Gammaproteobacteria; Enterobacterales; Erwiniaceae
Description: tRNA-Arg
Rfam family: tRNA
About the family: Transfer RNA (tRNA) molecules are approximately 80 nucleotides in length. Their secondary structure includes four short double-helical elements and three loops (D, anti-codon, and T loops).
Source: RNAcentral